UCCCCCUCUCCCCUCUCCCCUCCCCUCUCCUCUCCUCUCCUCCUGUCCUCCAGCUGCACUGUAAGCCACAGUGCAUGCCUCCCUGUUCCCUGGCCUCUCUAGCCACCAGCUCCUCGCCCUACAUGCCAGACGCUCUCCGACGUCAGCCCUCAGGACCUCCUUGCCACCUCCUCCUCUUCCUCCCCCACCGCGGGACCAGGAAUAACCACGCGCUGGGGCCAGACGCCGCGCUCCUUCCGGACUCCUGAUGGGAUGGAAAACGGACGGGUCAGAGGGAACGGUGGUGACUCGCUCACAGCCACUGAGGGAGUGGAAUGUCGCUGUGGCUUUGGACGGACACUCGUGCGGCUGCCUGGGAGGGGGAUCCAAUCCUGGUGGGAAUGCAUGAGGAUCCGUCCUGCAGCGCUGACCCCUCGCCACCUGUCUUUCUGCAGACGUUUCCAGAAGGAGAGAGGACGCUGAGAGGAAGCACAGAGUUCUGUACAGCUCCAGGAAGCUUUUGGAACGAGAGUACUGGUGUCUUACAGACUUACAAACUGUUUGUUUUCCAGGGUUUUGAGUCGGACAUCUUGGUUUCUGUUAAUUAGAACAACAAGGAGGUUCAGCUGAGGAGGGAAGUCAGCUGGCUCCACGCAGGGAGGGGGGUUCAACCAUCUGGGGGGUUCAGCUUCUAUCUAGGGGUUUGACAACACUGCUACUCAGCUGCGCCUGAUGCAGUCUAACCCCACAGUCUGGUGGAGAAGUUAUAUGUACGAAGAUAUUAAUAACAGAUGGAACCAAAAACAUUAUAUGCCAUGAAACUAUUUAUCAACUGAGACAGAGAAUCCUUAAGUUAAUAAAAUUAAACAGAUAAUGUGUAAAUAAUUCUGUAAAGUUCACAUUAAAUCGUUGUUGUAGGAGGAGAGGGUUUGAUUUAAAUAUAGGUUGGUUUAGAUGGUGUCCUACACAUUGCAGGGAUGUGGCAAACUUAAUAUUUGUGGUAGAUAACAUGACUUCCUGAGGAGGUUUUUUUUAAAUAAAUGAUUGAUAAAUUAACUUUUACAACAGAGUGAUCGGCUGCUGCAAUCUUCAAAUAAGAUACAAUUUUGUACAAAGAAAUACCUUUAAACAAUUGAAAUGGAAUUAAAUCUAAUAUUACAUUAUUACGUUUUUGCUCAUCAAAUUACAUAUCUGACAAAAAAUACACAUGCAAACACAUACACAUAGAGAUACUGUGAAAAAUCUGCCGAUGACAAUCCAAAGCAGCUCUUCCUCUUUCUAGCUCUUUCUCUCUGUCUCUCUCUCUUACUUGAUCUAUUGCUGUCUCUCUCUUACUUGGUCUCUCUCUAUCUAUCUCUCACUUACUUUCUAACUUUCUCUCCCACAGCUGCUGAACUACCUGUUUAUGUCAUCCUUGAUGCAAUGAAAUGAAAUGUAACUUAAUGUAAUGUAACAGACUUUAACUGAAUGUGCUAAAUGAGAGUUUUUGUUACGUAGGCUACCAUUGUUUUAGCAACGCUAACAUUUUGGGACUCUCGUCGUGAAGAACCCAUUUUUUUUAUAGACAAGCAGGGAAUGGUUGUGUUAUUUAAAUAUGUUUAGUUUUAUUGUGACCUGUGGUUGAUAGUAGAACUGAGCUUGUGUUAAAGUAAAAUAGUUGUUGCUUGUUAACACACAAGAUUACUCAAGGAUUAACUCGUUCUUGUUCAUUUUCGUAACCAAUAAAAACCAAUAUGGAAUCAGCUUGUUUCUAAAUUUGCAUAAUGGUUGUUUGUUUCUUCCAGUCCAGUUUAAAUCACGUUGUCUUAACAAAUAGUUUGAUGAAUAAAAAUCGAAUAACGUUUUUA
Long non-coding RNA from Gadus morhua (Atlantic cod), 1826 nucleotides. RefSeq lists it as uncharacterized. NCBI's taxonomy places the organism in Eukaryota, Metazoa, Chordata, Actinopteri, Gadiformes, Gadidae. The record is from RefSeq and is a predicted model, not a curated record. The transcript is spliced from 2 exons.